Molecule: ribosomal RNA, 386 nt
Filed under: uncultured bacterium
Lineage: Bacteria
Description: bacterial SSU rRNA
Rfam family: Bacterial small subunit ribosomal RNA
Source: RNAcentral
AUUGAACGCUGGCGGCAUGCCUUACACAUGCAAGUCGAACGGCAGCACGGGAGCAAUCCUGGUGGCGAGUGGCGAACGGGUGAGUAAUAUAUCGGAACGUGCCCGGUCGUGGGGAUAACGUAGCGAAAGCUACGCUAAUACCGCAUACGAUCUACGGAUGAAAGCGGGGGAUCGCAAGACCUCGCGCGAUUGGAGCGGCCGAUAUCAGAUUAGGUAGUUGGUGAGGUAAAGGCUCACCAAGCCGACGAUCUGUAGCUGGUCUGAGAGGACGACCAGCCACACUGGGACUGAGACACGGCCCAGACUCCUACGGGAGGCAGCAGUGGGGAAUUUUGGACAAUGGGCGCAAGCCUGAUCCAGCAAUGCCGCGUGCAGGAUGAAGGCCC